Molecule: ribosomal RNA, 460 nt
Filed under: uncultured bacterium
Lineage: Bacteria
Description: partial 16S ribosomal RNA
Rfam family: Bacterial small subunit ribosomal RNA
Source: RNAcentral
CCUACGGGAGGCAGCAGUGAGGAAUAUUGGUCAAUGGGCGCGAGCCUGAACCAGCCAAGUAGCGUGAAGGAUGACUGCCCUACGGGUUGUAAACUUCUUUUAUAUGGGAAUAAAGUGCGGCACGUGUGCUGCUUUUUAUGUACUUUAUGAAUAAGGAUCGGCUAACUCCGUGCCAGCAGCCGCGGUAAUACGGAGGAUCCGAGCGUUAUCCGGAUUUAUUGGGUUUAAGGGGAGCGUAGACGGGUUGUUAAGUCAGUUGUGAAAGUUUGCGGCUCAACCGUAAAAUUGCAGUUGAUACUGGCAGCCUUGAGUACAGUAGAGGUAGGCGGAAUUCGUGGUGUAGCGGUGAAAUGCUUAGAUAUCACGAAGAACUCCGAUUGCGAAGGCAGCUUUCUGGACUGCAACUGACGCUGAUGCUCGAAAGUGUGGGUAUCAAACAGGAUUAGAUACCCGUGUAGUC